UACCUGAAGUUCCCAUAGCAAACUGCUCAGUAACACAUGAUCAACUUACCCUAUGGAGAUAAAUAACCUCGGGAAACUGAGGAUAAUUUUUCAUAGUUGAAUAGGCUUGGAAAAGUUUUUCAAUGAAAGGGAUAAGAAAAAUGGUUCUUAUUUGCCAUAGGAUAGGAUCGUGGUCGAUUAUGGUUGUUGGUGAGGUAACGGCUCACCAAGCCGAUAAUCGAUAGGGGCCGUGAGAGCGGGAGCCCCGAGAUGGGUACUGAGACAGCGACCCAGGCCUUACGAGGCGCAGCAGGCGCGGAACCUCCGCAAUACACGAAAGUGUGACGGGGUUACCCAAAGUGUCCAUUUUUGGACUGUGGUAGGUGAGUAAUGUCCCCUACUAGAAAGGAGAGGGCAAGGCUGGUGCCAGCCGCCGCGGUAAAACCAGCUCUUCAAGUGGUCGGGAUGAUUAUUGGGCUUAAAGUGUCCGUAGCCGGUUUAGUAAGUUCCUGGUAAAAUCGGGUAGCUUAACUAUCCGUAUGCUAGGAAUACUGCUAUACUAGAGGGCGGGAGAGGUCUGAGGUACUAUAGGGGUAGGGGUGAAAUCCUAUAGUCCUUGUAGGACCACCAGUGGCGAAGGCGUCAGACUGGAACGCGCCUGACGGUGAGGGACGAAAGCCAGGGGAGCGAACCGGAUUAGAUACCCGGGUAGUCCUGGCCGUAAACGAUGCAUACUAGGUGAUGGCACGGCCAUGAGCCGUGUCAGUGCCGUAGGGAAACCGUUAAGUGUGCCGCCUGGGAAGUACGGUCGCAAGGCUAAAACUAAAAGGAAUUGGCGGGGGUGGAA
Molecule: ribosomal RNA, 826 nt
Filed under: uncultured archaeon
Lineage: Archaea
Description: bacterial SSU rRNA
Rfam family: Archaeal small subunit ribosomal RNA
Source: RNAcentral